RNAcentral lists this ribosomal RNA (515 nucleotides) under uncultured bacterium. RNAcentral describes it as "partial 16S ribosomal RNA". It matches the Rfam family "Bacterial small subunit ribosomal RNA", at positions 28 to 523 of the family's 1533-position model. The record is from RNAcentral.
GAUGAACGCUGGCGGCGUGCCUAAUACAUGCAAGUCGAGCGAAUGGAUUAAGAGCUUGCUCUUAUGAAGUUAGCGGCGGACGGGUGAGUAACACGUGGGUAACCUGCCCAUAAGACUGGGAUAACUCCGGGGAACCGGGGCUAAUACCGGAUAAUAUUUUGAACUGCAUGGUUCAAAAUUGAAAGGCGGCUUCGGCUGUCACUCAUGGAUGGACCCGCGUCGCAUUAGCUAGUUGGUGAGGUAACGGCUAACCAAGGCAACGAUGCGUAGCCGACCUGAGAGGGUGAUCGGCCACACUGGGACUGAGACACGGCCCAGACUCCUACGGGAGGCAGCAGUAGGGAAUCUUCCGCAAUGGACGAAAGUCUGACGGAGCAACGCCGCGUGAGUGAUGAAGGCUUUCGGGUCGUAAAACUCUGUUGUUAGGGAAGAACAAGUGCUAGUUGAAUAAGCUGGCACCUUGACGGUACCUAACCAGAAAGCCACGGCUAACUACGUGCCAGCAGCCGCGGUAA